Molecule: ribosomal RNA, 497 nt
Filed under: uncultured bacterium
Lineage: Bacteria
Description: partial 16S ribosomal RNA
Rfam family: Bacterial small subunit ribosomal RNA
Source: RNAcentral
GAUGAACGCUGGCGGCGUGCCUAAUACAUGCAAGUCGAGCGAACAGACGAGGAUCUUGCUCCUCUGACGUUAGCGGCGGAUGGGUGAGUAACACGUGGAUAACCUAUCUAUAAGACUGGGAUAACUUCGGGAAACCGGAGCUAAUACCGGAUAAUAUAUUGAACCGCAUGGUUCAAUAGUGAAAGACGGUUUUGCUGUCACUUAUAGAUGGUUCCGCGCCGCAUUAGCUAGUUGGUAAGGUAACGGCUUACAAAGGCAACGAUGCGUAGCCGACCUGAGAGGGUGAUCGGCGACAGUGGAACUGAGACACGGUCCAGACUCCUACGGGAGGCAGCAGUAGGGAAGCUUCCGCAAUGGGCGAAAGCCUGACGGAGCAACGCCGCGUGAGUGAUGAAGGUCUUCGGAUCGUAAAACUCUGUUAUUAGGGAAGAACAAAUGUGUAAGUAACUAUGCACGUCUUGACGGUACCUAAUCAGGAAGCCACGGCUAACUACGUG